CUAUUAUACGUCGUCUUAAAUUAUCAUACUCCUGUUUCUUCGAAUUUUCUUCCUUUUAUUCGCGCGCGAAAAUACCACGCAACGUUCACUACGUUUUGUAUUUUUGUUCGCAGCGUUGCUUCUUUUUUUCCCGCUUUUGCCUCGGAAUGUCGCUGUUUCUUUUCUUUUCCGCUUUUACUCUCUUUCCGCGUAACGUAACUUCCUUCUUUCGUCUUCUCUGGAAUUUUGCUUGUUCCGCCUGCUUUCCGCUCCAAUUUCCCUUCUCUUUCUGCCACUCUUUUCCUCUCGUGAAAAUUGCUGUAGCGUCGUGU
RNAcentral lists this unclassified non-coding RNA (311 nucleotides) under Bombus terrestris (buff-tailed bumblebee). RNAcentral describes it as "misc RNA ENSBTSG00005020176.1". Lineage: Eukaryota; Metazoa; Arthropoda; Insecta; Hymenoptera; Apidae. The record is from RNAcentral.